UGGGAGAGAAACCAAGCGAUGAGUGGGACUUGUCACGUGUGGCUGUUGAUGCUUUAGGUGCUGCUAUGUUGGUAACGAUCAUUCUUGAUCUGUGGCGUCUCUUCUUGGGACCUAUAGUUCCCCUACCGGAGGGACAAAACUGCCUUCAGUCUGGUUUACCAUGGUUCUCCCGGUGAAUGGUAAUUCAUGGCUGCUUCGACCAAGUCAUGGACCGAUAGAGAAACCUGAGAAAGAGUUUCCGUAAACACUUUAUGGAAAGAAAUUAAUGCGAGGUUUUUUUGGUAAUGUUUCUGAGGUUUUUCUUAUUCCUUUUGACUGCUUGCCUUUGUUAUAUUUUUCUUCAGCUUUCUUUGUUAUAUUUUGGUAACGAAACCUUGAAGUUAUCAUUUAACCAAACAGAAUGGAAGUUUUUGUUGUUGUUGUGAAAUCAAUUUAUUGGUUCAUAACUGGUGAAGUAUCAUCGCAUGAAGCCGCUAAGGGCUUUUCUUACUAUAACCAAAUCAUAAUUUCACAUCAACUUUUUCGUAGAAAAUGUAGUUGGUUGACAUUGAGAUGACACACAAGAUCUAGCCUACGAUUGUUAAUGAGUCCGUUGAAGACAACGAUUCAGAUUCACUCUGUUAGGGACGUUUUCGUGACGAUGGCAAAUUCCAGAUCAAAUUUGGGUUCGAUUUAAUUUUUGCACAGUCCCCAACACACAACAGGUUAAGUGAUACAGUGAGUUUCAAUUACCUGGACUGUCACGUCCUAAUUAAUUUAUUCUCAAUUUAAAUAGAAAGCCUAUUUAAAAAGAGGGAAAAAAAACUAGAAUAUUUGAGAGAAUGGUCCGUAGAGUGAUGAUGUGACAAAUGAUUAAAUAAAUCUUAAAAUGAGAAAGCGGAUCUAGUUUUCGUCAAAAUCACGAGAGUACAUGUGCCACGUCAGCAGUCUCAAUGAGGAUUUAUUUGAUUGCUCGUACAAAGGAGGAACCUCUCUCUCUCUCACACUCGCACUCUCUCUUUUAAGUCAACCAUCGUUUUCUCCAGAUCCGGCGGAGCCAUUAUCUUCACAGGGAUUAUUACUAUGUCAGGUAACGCAUCUGGUCAGCGUCUCAUCUUCUUUACCUGAUUCUCAUUAACAUAAAAAUGGGUUUGGAUAGGAACGAGUUCAGGGAGCUUGUGGUUGGCAGCGAACCCGAGCAAGAGAUGGGGAGAGCUCUUCUUCCUCUUCUACACUCCUUUCUGGCUCACUCUCUCCUUGGGCAUCGUUGUUCCUUACAAGCUCUACGAGGUCCCCUUCUUUUAUUAAAAGUUGGAAUCUUUCACUUUUCUUUGAUUAGAAAAUGGAAUCUUCUAUUCAUAUUCAUCAACAGACAUUCACGGAGCUGGAGUAUCUGCUUCUCGCCUUGGUUUCAGCUCUUCCCGCUUUCCUCAUACCCAUGUUACUUGUUGGAAAGGUACAUCCUUUUGUUGAUAACACUGCUUCUUCAACUAUAAGCUAAUGUCUGGUUUGUAUACGACCAUGCUUACCCUCCACUUCUUUAACAUAGUUUAUGCAUUUUGCUUCAGGCCGACAGAAGCUUACCCUGGAAGGACCGUUAUUGGGUUAAGGCAAGCGUUUUUUCUUCCCUGUCUCAGUCUCAGUCUCAGUCUCAUCCAUAGCUUUAUUUAUUACCACAGGCGAAUCUCUGGAUAAUUAUUUUCAGCUAUGUGGGAAACUACUUCUGGACUCACUAUUUCUUUCAAGUUCUUGGAGCCUCCUAUACAUUCCCGUCCUGGAAAAUGAAUAACGUAAUUAGCACAAAACCUCGGCUUUGUCUUGUUUCCGUGAGCUCAUCAUGACAUGUGUCCAACAGGUGCCUCACACAACAUUCUUCAUGACGCAUGCUUGCUUCCUCUUUUACCACGUUGCGUCCAACAUCACUCUCCGAAGGCUACGACAUUCCAUUGCUGGUUUACCAGAUUCUCUUAGAUGGUCUUUUGAGGCUGCUUGGAUUCUGGCGCUUUCUUAUUUCAUUGCUUACCUGGAGACUGUUGCUAUUGCCAAUGUAUGUCAUCUCUUUGAUAGCUCAGAGAAGAUUACAUCUUUAGUUUUCUGUUUCUAGCAUAAAAACCAACUUACUUCGUGCCUGAUCAAGUGAUAGCUUAUAUCUGGUUAAAGGUCAAAUGAUACUUAAAUCAUUCUUUUUUUUUUCUUUUUUUUUAAACAUGUGCAGUUUCCUUACUAUGAGUUUGUGGACCGAAGUGCCAUGUACCAAGUUGGAUGUUUGUUCUAUGCCAUCUACUUCAUUGUCAGCUUCCCAAUGUUCUUCAGGUAAUGAAACGCCUCAAACAUAUAGUUUCAUAUAUAUAUUCUUAGUUUGUUGAUUUUUUUAAUCUCAUAGUAGCACUGGAUCUUUAUAGUGCCAAGACUGUUGCGUAUCAAAGGUGGUCUUAGUGUUAUCAUCUCUGGAUUUUUCUUCAUCUACCAUUCUUAUACAAAUUUUUGUUCUUUUAUUUGUUUUGAGAAUACAUAAACUCCUUUUUCAUAUGCUUUUCAUUUGAUGGUGGGGUUUUGUAGGAUGGGAGAGAAACCAAGCGAUGAGUGGGACUUGUCACGUGUGGCUGUUGAUGCUUUAGGUGCUGCUAUGUUGGUAACGAUCAUUCUUGAUCUGUGGCGUCUCUUCUUGGGACCUAUAGUUCCCCUACCGGAGGGACAAAACUGCCUUCAGUCUGGUUUACCAUGGUUCUCCCGGUGAAUGGUAAUUCAUGGCUGCUUCGACCAAGUCAUGGACCGAUAGAGAAACCUGAGAAAGAGUUUCCGUAAACACUUUACGGAAAGAAAUUAAUGCGAGGUUUUUUGGUAAUGUUUCUGAGGUUUUUCUUAUUCCUUUUGACUGCUUGCCUUUGUUAUAUUUUUCUUCAGCUUU
Molecule: long non-coding RNA, 2887 nt
Filed under: Brassica napus (rape)
Lineage: Eukaryota; Viridiplantae; Streptophyta; Magnoliopsida; Brassicales; Brassicaceae
Description: long non-coding RNA (BNAP_LNC013197)
Source: RNAcentral